UGGGGGGGAAGAGAAAUCAAACGAGGAGCGGAAAAGUUGCCUCUGGUUCCUUCCUUCCUUCCUCUCUUCCUUCCUUCCUUCCUCUCUUUCUUUCUUUCUUUCUUCCUUCCUUCCUUCCUCUCUUUCUUCCUUCCUCUUCCUUCCUUCCUUCCUCCCUUCCUUCCUUCCUCUCUUUCUUUCUUCCUUCCUUCCACUCUUCCUUCCUUCCUUCCUUCCUCCCUUCCUUCCUUCCCCUCUUCCUCCCUUCCUUCCUUCCUCUCUUUCUUCCUUCCUUCCUCUCUUUCUUCCUUCCUUCCUUCCUUCCUCUCUGUCUUCCUUCCUUCCUCUCUUUCUUCCUUCCUUCCUCCCUCCUUCCUUCCUCUCUUUCUUCCUUCCUUCCUUCCACUCUUCCUUCCUUCCUUCCUCUUUCUUUCUUCCUUCCUUCCUUCCUCUCUGUCUUCCUUCCUUCCUCUCUUUCUUCCUUCCUUCCUCCCUUCCUUCCUUCCCCCCUCUCCUUCUCCCUCUCCCUCUCCCCAACCCGCUUUCCCCACCCCCCUCCCCAGUAUUUCUCUGCGUCUGUCGCGGAUUUCUCCAGCAGCCGCCGCCUGGCCAGCUCGCCAAGCCCCUGAAAUAUGAUAAUCAGAACAGCUGCUUCUGUGUUCCCUCCGGCCAAUCAGAAGACGGCAGGUUUGACGUCCCCGCGGCCUACGCCGGCCAAUGACGAGCGAGCUGAGUUGGAGCAGAGAAGUUUGAGUAAGAGAUAAGGAAGAGGCUCGUGGUCGAGGCGCGCGGAGUUUCCACGCACUGGGCAGCGUCCUCCGAGAGCGCUCGCUCCCUCUCUCCCGCUCUCCCGCUCUCCCGCUCGCUCUCGCUUGCCUGGACCCCGCUGGCGGUUUUCCUUUCCGGACGGAGCACCUUCUCACCGUAGGAAGAAGGGCGUCCGGUCAUCCAUCCUCCCUGAGGUCGAUUCCCAGCGCGGCGGAGGCGGCGGACCAAGGAAGCAUCUCUGCCGUCCCUUGACAGCAUCUUCUUCUCCUCCUCCUUCCCCCCCCCCACUCCAAAAAAGCAGAGCCGCCGGUUUAUUUGUUUAUUUAUUUAUUAUUUUUAUUAUUAUUUUUAUUAUUAUUUUUCCAUCAUCUCGGGAAAGUUCCUGUGCAGCCGGGCACCAUUUCACGGUGGACACUGUACCCUUUGGUAGAGAUGGGCGAUAUGGGCGACCCACCGAAAAAAAAGCGGCUGAUUUCCUUGUGCGUCGGUUGCGGCAAUCAAAUCCACGACCAGUAUAUUCUGCGGGUUUCCCCGGAUUUGGAAUGGCACGCGGCGUGUUUGAAGUGCGCGGAAUGUAACCAGUAUUUGGACGAGACUUGUACGUGCUUUGUAAGGGAUGGGAAAACCUACUGUAAGCGAGACUAUAUCAGGUUAUACGGCAUCAAGUGCGCCAAAUGCAACAUUGGGUUCAGCAAGAACGACUUCGUGAUGCGCGCCCGCUCCAAAGUCUACCACAUCGAGUGCUUUCGCUGCGUGGCCUGCAGCCGCCAGCUGAUUCCUGGGGACGAGUUCGCGCUGCGAGAGGACGGCCUCUUUUGCCGAGCGGAUCACGAUGUGGUGGAAAGAGCCAGUCUCGGCGCCGGAGACGCCCUCAGCCCCUUGCACCCCGCCAGGCCGCUGCAGAUGGCAGCAGAACCUAUCUCCGCCAGGCAGCCGGCUCUCCGGCCCCACGUCCAUAAGCAGCCAGAAAAAACGACCCGCGUCCGGACCGUCCUCAACGAAAAGCAGCUCCACACUUUGAGGACCUGCUACGCGGCCAAUCCCCGGCCUGACGCCCUCAUGAAGGAGCAGCUGGUGGAAAUGACCGGUCUCAGCCCCAGAGUGAUCCGGGUCUGGUUUCAAAAUAAGCGUUGCAAGGACAAAAAAAGGAGCAUCAUGAUGAAGCAGCUGCAGCAGCAGCAGCCCAACGACAAGACGAACAUCCAGGGGAUGACGGGCACUCCCAUGGUGGCAGCCAGUCCGGAGAGACACGACGGCGGCUUGCAGGCAAACCCGGUGGAGGUGCAGAGUUACCAGCCGCCCUGGAAAGUCCUCAGCGAUUUCGCCUUGCAGAGUGACAUAGAUCAACCGGCUUUUCAACAACUCCCUCCCUGGCUAUUACUGCUUCCUGAUCUGAAAAAACUGCAUGGGUGGCAUGACAAAUCCUACAGAAAUCCGUUGGGUUUUAAUUGAAGUGAGCAAUGUCAGCAAGGCAGCAGGUCAUGAAGAGAGUGUUGCACAAUCAUAGAGAGAAACUCUUGAACACAUCGGACCUCUUGUAAAUAAGACACUUGAAGUUAUAACAACAGAGAUAAAAGUGACUUAUGACCAGUGCUUGCACUUAUGACCAGGGUCAUGUGAUAAAAGUUCAGAUACUUGGCAACUGGCAUGUAUUUAUCAUGGCUGCUGUAUCCUGGGGUCAUAUGAUCUUCGUUUGCGACCUUCCCAGCCAGUUUCCAACAAGCAAAGUCAAUGAGGAAAUGGAUUUGCUUAAUGACCGCAGGAUUCCCUUAACCGCAGUGAUUCCCUCAACAGCCUAUCAGCUAAGGACACUGCAAAAUUCCGUGCUACGAUUCGAAAGGAAACUGAUAACUGCAAACUCAUCAACAUUACCAUCAUGAUCAUCACACCAUCUUACAACAUUACUUGGAUAAUUCCUGGAUUCCUGGCUGGGACUCGAAUUUCCAAAGAAGCCAGUCAGAGAUAUGAUUAAUUUGGUUUGUUCUUGCCCUGUAUCACUCCUUGAAGAAUAAAAACUGAUCACAAUCAUGUAAUCAAAUAAAAAUUAAAGAAACAGCAGCAGCAAUUUGAGGACAUGAUAAUAUGAGUUGUUUAAUCCUGGUUCAACAUCAACAUUUGUUUUGUUCCAUCCUGUCUGCUAUGGCAUCUUUGUGGUGUUACAGGGGACAUUCUGAAUGAGAGCGGUACGCAUUCAAAUGCAGAAUAACAGAGUUGGAAUGCAACCAUUCUUCUGUUCUUUGUAUGUUUUAUAUUCCAGCCCCCUAAAUCAACUUAGUUGCUCUUCUCUGUACUCUUUCUUAACAUCUUUUUAAUAUUGUGUCUGCCAAAACUGGAUGCAAUAUUCCAAGUGUGGUCUUACCAAAGCAUAAUAAAGUGGUAUUAAUACCUCAUGUGAUAUUGAUUCUAAAUAUAAAGGUAUUAAUACCUCAUGUGAUAUUGAUUCUAAAUGUAAAGGUAAAGGUUCCCCUUGCACAUAUGUGCUAGUCAUUCCUGACUCUAGGGGGUGGUGCUCAUUGUCAAAGCGUAAAUCAGCCUCAUUCCCCCCCUGGGGAAACUGUAAUUAAUUAGAGGUGAAUGGAUCUUGUUUUCCAUGCUGUAUACUUCAAAGAAAGAAAACCCAAAAUAUAUUCUAAGAAACAUUUUAUUAUAAAAACAAACAAAACUAGAUAACUACAUCUUUACCAGACAAAAGGAAGACGUAAAUCAGGAAGUUAGAAAAGAAAGAAUGUAGACAUGCGCAGUAGCUCAGAAAUCACAAGACAGUCUUAUCUCAGUUGCUACAGAUAAGUUCUCUGGCAAGCUACCGUAAAUCUUAGGAUGGAAGCUCAGCUGGCAAACACUUAACGCAGUGACACUCAUCUCCGUUUCAAAGCCGAAGAGCCAGCACUGUCUGAAGACGUCUCUGCGCUCAUGUGGCCGGCAUGACUAAAUGCCAAAGGCGCACAGAACACUGUUAUCUUUCUACCAAAGGUGGUCCCUAUUUUUCUACUUGCAUUUUUUAUGUGCUUUCAAACUGCUAGAUUGGCAGAAGCUGGGACAAGUAACGGGAGUUCACCCCGUUACGUGGCAUUAGGGACUUGAACUGCUGAACUGCCAACCUUUUGAUCAACAAGCUCAGUGUCUUAGCCACUGAGCCACUGCAUCCAUUUUGAUCUUGAUUCUAUCCCUCUAUUGACUGCAAUGGUUUUUUUUUUUGUUGUUGUUGUUGUUUUUUGGCAAUUCAGAGGUGGGGUUUUUUUUGGCAAUUACAGUUAUUCUUGAGACAGAAAUCCUAAACAAGCAAAGUUCCUGCACAAUCAAGAUUCCCGAUUCUAGAGAGGGCUGGAAAUGAGCCCCAUAGCAAUUCCUCUUCAUCUUUUCUUAGUUCAGGUCUGAAUAGGGGCCUGCAAGAUAUGGUCAAAAAGUCUAUAUGAUGGUUCAGUCAAAGUUUCCUCCUUUUUAUGUGCUUCCUAGAGUUUACAAAAGGUCCACAAUAGAAGUGGCUGGGCCAUGUCAAUAUGAGUAUCCCUAUCUUGCCUUCACUUUUCUACUAUGUGACCAAAACAUACAGAGCCUUUUUCUUCAAUACUAUUGUUCUGACCGAAGUCAAGCUGGCAAGGCAGAGGUUAAAGAGGGUAUGUUUAUUGCUCACUUAUCACAGUGACAAAUGACCCACCAAUGGUACCGGUGAAGCUCUGCCCCAGGCCUCAGUUUUCUCUUGAUCUGGAUUCACCAACUAAAUACCAGCUGACCCACAAGGCAAGAGGAAAGUAACAAUACCCACAAGUCCAGAGUUCCAUCAACCAAAGUACAGUCCAAGAAUGUGAACUCUGAGAGCCAAGUCCAAACUCCACAAGAGUCUAAAGUUCAGAGUCCAAAAACACCAUCCAAAGUUCAAGAAACAGGAUUCAGGAAAGCCAGGAAGAUGCACAUCAAAACAAGCAGGUGUUCCCAACAAACACAUCUUCCCCCAGCGUCUAGUUAAAUCUCCCUUCCCCAGUUGUCCCUUGGGAGACGAGUAGGGCUGCUUUCUUGCAAGCAACCUCACCGACCUCCUGUGUGCCUCUCUCUGCUCUGCUCUCCUUGUCCAUGGAUUGGGGGGGGGGGAGGGAGCUGUUCUUGUCAGAGGUGGUCUGGAGCAGGGGUAAAAUUCAGAAGGUUCUGACAGGUUCUGGAGAACCAGUAGCAGAAAUUUUGAGUAGUUCGGAGAACCGGCAAAUACCACCUCUGGCUGGCCCCAGAGUGGGGUGGGAAUGGAGAUUUUGCAAUAUCCUUCCCCUGGAGUGGGGUGGAAAUGGAGAUUUUGCAAUAUCCUUCCCCUGCCAUGCCCACCAAGCCACACCUACCAAGCCACACCACGCCCACCAAGCCACACCCACAGAACUGGUAGUACAAAAAUUUGAAUUUCACCAUUGGUGUGGAGCCUAUCAUCUCUGCUGGCACUCUUCAGCUGCUCCACUCCUGCAGGCAGCUCUCCAUCUGGUCAGUCCCCUCCCCCCACUGCCAGAUAGCCCUGGGACUCAUCCUCAGACCUGGACUCCCCACUUCAAAAAGGAUCAUGUCCUCCCCAUUGGAUGGUCCUGGUUCCAACUCCUCCUCCUCUGAACCAGGAUCUGACAAAGCCAUGACCUUCAUGCACUUUCUACAGACAUAGAUGAUAUUUUAUUUCCAGAACAACAAACGAGUAUCGAAAUGUCAAAGAAACUGGCAGUAGGCAGUGCCCUUCAGUUUGGAUAUAUUUGUCAGCCAUGCUAUGGUUUCAAAUAUUUAAAUCUUUGUAGGUUGAAUGCAUGAAGGAUAUGGUAGGAUUGCUAGUACAGUACUGUUCUGAUUUAUCUUCCAGAUUUGUGUUUUUUGUUUUAAUGUUUUAUUAUUGCUUUUAAGUUCAAUUAAAAUUAUAGCUUUUAAGUGCAAUUAAAACCUUCAAAGUAUUUUACAGGAAGCUGUAUGUCAUAAAUAAAUUAACUAUAAUGUCUAGAUGCUGAUGCUUUGUGGACAACGAUUGCAUUCGAAAUCCUUUGGUGCAGAUUCUAAAACCUUCCAAAAUUGCUAUGAAAUUGCCCCUGAAAGAGAAGAGAAAACUGUGGAAUACAUUUUCAUCUACAUUUUCUCAGAGCUAAUUCAAUCAAGAAACAACGACGCAAACAAAGGCACAAUCUUGCCUUCAGUUCGACUUGUUCGACUUGUUCCUUGAUAUGUUCAUUUUCCAUUUGCAGGAAAUGCAGGGACAGAAAGCAUUAAGAAAUUGGAAAAUGGUCUUGGCUUUGGGACUCUUCAAUGUUUUAUAUCGAUCACUUGGACAAUGACACGGAGGGAAUGCUUAUAAAAUGUAAACCACUCUAAACUCGAUUGUAAAAUAAUCAAUUUUUGUAACAAAAUUGUCGAAGUCUGGAAUAUGUUACCCAAUUCAGUUGUAUCAACCAUUAAGUCUCACCCUUUUAAUUCUAACUUAACUUCUGUGAACCUCACUCCAUAUUGAAGAGGUCCCUAAGGAGUCAUGCAUAAGUGCUCUAAUGUGCCUAUUGUCCCUAUUACAUUUUAAUUUUUUUUAUUUUGCUUAUUGGAAUUUGUAAUUUCAACAAUAAUAAUCCCCCCCCCCCCAGAUAUAUAGUCUUGGGAGUUACUGCUGAUACCAGCAGAAAGAAACAAAAUCCAAAAUGAAAAGGAACUGGGAAAAAAAUGCAGAUUUCUUCAUUGAGGAAAUGAAAAAAAAAAGCUUGAUGAUGAUUCAGCAAUAUUGGAGAAAGAGAGAGAGAGAGGGAGAGGGAGGGAGGAAGAGAGAGGGGGGGAGAGAAUGAAUAUAUAUAUGAUGGGGGACAUAACUGUAUUUUUCAAGUUCCUUAAUGGAUAUCAUAGAAAAGGAUGCCAAAAGCUGAUCUUUAAUAUUGCAGACUGCAAGACAUGGAAUAAUAAUUUAAUAUUUAGAAAUGCAUCCUGAGAGUAAGACCAGUUUAUUAGUACUCAGGAGCCUUGGGAGGUGUUGGGUUUUUGAUUGCUAGAAAGGUUCAAAUGAAGCUGGACUACUACCUAUCAAAGAUACCUUCCAACUUCUUAUUUCUCUUUUACCAUUUCUAAACUCUUGCCUUGUUUCCUAGUUACCUAAUUCCAGCUGAUCAUAAUUAUGCACACACCCUGGUUUUCCUUAUGAAAUUAAAAGAGUUCUAAACACCUACAUAUGAACAUGAGCAACUGAACCGGAUGGGGACAAUCCUUCAGUUUCUGUUUGUCUCUAGAUUCAUGCACUGUAGAGUGAAUUGAGACCAAUAAACAUGUAUAUCUCAU
This is a non-coding RNA of Pantherophis guttatus, 7008 nucleotides long. NCBI's taxonomy places the organism in Eukaryota, Metazoa, Chordata, Lepidosauria, Squamata, Colubridae. The record is from RefSeq and is a predicted model, not a curated record.